Molecule: ribosomal RNA, 427 nt
Filed under: uncultured prokaryote
Description: bacterial SSU rRNA
Rfam family: Bacterial small subunit ribosomal RNA
Source: RNAcentral
UGGGGAAUUUUCCGCAAUGGGCGAAAGCCUGACGGAGCAAUACCGCGUGAGGGAGGAAGGCUUUUGGGUUGUAAACCUCUUUUUUCAAGGAAGAAGCAAGUGACGGUACUUGAAGAAUCAGCAUCGGCUAACUCCGUGCCAGCAGCCGCGGUAAUACGGAGGAUGCAAGCGUUAUCCGGAAUCAUUGGGCGUAAAGCGUCCGCAGGUGGCUGUUCAAGUCUGCUGUCAAAGACAGAAGCUUAACUUCUGAAAGGCAGUGGAAACUGGAGAGCUAGAGUACGGUAGGGGUUGAGGGAAUUCCCAGUGUAGCGGUGAAAUGCGUAGAUAUUGGGAAGAACACCAGUGGCGAAGGCGCUCAACUGGGCCGUAACUGACACUCAGGGACGAAAGCUAGGGGAGCGAAAGGGAUUAGAUACCCCCGUAGUCC